CGGCGUGCUUACCAUGCAAGUCGAACGGAAAGGCCCUUCGGGGUACUCGAGUGGCGAACGGGUGAGUAACACGUGGGUGAUCUGCCCUGCACUCUGGGAUAAGCCUGGGAAACUGGGUCUAAUACCGGAUAGGACCACACACUUCAUGGUGAGUGGUGCAAAGCUUUUGCGGUGUGGGAUGAGCCCGCGGCCUAUCAGCUUGUUGGUGGGGUAAUGGCCCACCAAGGCGACGACGGGUAGCCGGCCUGAGAGGGUGACCGGCCACACUGGGACUGAGAUACGGCCCAGACUCCUACGGGAGGCAGCAGUGGGGAAUAUUGCACAAUGGGCGCAAGCCUGAUGCAGCGACGCCGCGUGAGGGAUGACGGCCUUCGGGUUGUAAACCUCUUUCAGUAGGGACGAAGCGAAAGUGACGGUACCUACAGAAGAAGGACCGGCCAACUACGUGCCAGCAGCCGCGGUAAUACGUAGGGUCCGAGCGUUGUCCGGAAUUACUGGGCGUAAAGAGCUCGUAGGUGGUUUGUCGCGUUGUUCGUGAAAACUCACAGCUUAACUGUGGGCGUGCGGGCGAUACGGGCAGACUAGAGUACUGCAGGGGAGACUGGAAUUCCUGGUGUAGCGGUGGAAUGCGCAGAUAUCAGGAGGAACACCGGUGGCGAAGGCGGGUCUCUGGGCAGUAACUGACGCUGAGGAGCGAAAGCGUGGGUAGCGAACAGGAUUAGAUACCCUGGUAGUCCACGCCGUAAACGGUGGGUACUAGGUGUGGGUUUCCUUCCUUGGGAUCCGUGCCGUAGCUAACGCAUUAAGUACCCCGCCUGGGGAGUACGGUCGCAAGACUAAAACUCAAAGGAAUUGACGGGGGCCCGCACAAGCGGCGGAGCAUGUGGAUUAAUUCGAUGCAACGCGAAGAACCUUACCUGGGUUUGACAUGCACAGGACGUACCUAGAGAUAGGUAUUCCCUUGUGGCCUGUGUGCAGGUGGUGCAUGGCUGUCGUCAGCUCGUGUCGUGAGAUGUUGGGUUAAGUCCCGCAACGAGCGCAACCCUUGUCCUAUGUUGCCAGCGGGUAAUGCCGGGGACUCGUAGGAGACUGCCGGGGUCAACUCGGAGGAAGGUGGGGAUGACGUCAAGUCAUCAUGCCCCUUAUGUCCAGGGCUUCACACAUGCUACAAUGGCCAGUACAGAGGGCUGCGAAGCCGCAAGGUGGAGCGAAUCCCUUAAAGCUGGUCUCAGUUCGGAUUGGGGUCUGCAACUCGACCCCAUGAAGUCGGAGUCGCUAGUAAUCGCAGAUCAGCAACGCUGCGGUGAAUACGUUCCCGGGCCUUGUACACACCGCCCGUCACGUCAUGAAAGUCGGUAACACCCGAAGCCAGUGGCCUAACC
This 1382-nucleotide ribosomal RNA is filed under the name [Mycobacterium] chelonae subsp. bovistauri. RNAcentral's name for it is "bacterial SSU rRNA". It matches the Rfam family "Bacterial small subunit ribosomal RNA". The record is from RNAcentral. Lineage: Bacteria; Bacillati; Actinomycetota; Actinomycetes; Mycobacteriales; Mycobacteriaceae.